This 266-nucleotide signal recognition particle RNA is filed under the name Talaromyces stipitatus ATCC 10500. Its description in RNAcentral is "Fungal signal recognition particle RNA". It matches the Rfam family "Fungal signal recognition particle RNA". The record is from Rfam by way of RNAcentral. Lineage: Eukaryota; Fungi; Ascomycota; Eurotiomycetes; Eurotiales; Trichocomaceae.
UAUCUGUGACGGAUAACCCAGUGGAAGGGUAGCUGCCGGUCGGUAACCUUGCGUAGGUCUAACCAGCGGGUGAGUGUGUCUGUUUCGAAUCGGGGAGCGGCCGUUAUAACUCGUCGGGGAACCACGAUUGUUGUACUGCCCUAAGCAAUGAAGAUGAACCCCCAGGGAAGCAAUUCUGCAAGGAACUCUUCACUCUGCGAUGGCGACAGCAGACCGCACCUCCUCGUGUAAGGAAACUGACCAUUUGGCUACACAACUAUUCUCUU